AUGUUGCAGGAGGAUGGGGGUAUUGAUGAAGAUGUGAACCAUCGAAUCAAAGCCGGAUGGAUGAAGUGGCGCCAAGCUUCUGGCAUUCUCUGUGACAAGAGAGUGCCACAAAAGCUAAAAGAUAGAGUUGGGGUAGCACCAAUUGAGGAGAAGCUUGUCCAACAUCGUCUGAGAUGGUUUGGGCAUAUUCAGCGCAGGCCUCCAGAAGCUCCAGUGCAUAGCGGACGGCUAAAGCGUGCAGAGAAUGUCAAGAGAGGGCGGGGUCGACCGAAUUUGACAUGGGUGGAGUCCGUUAAGAGAGACCUGAAGGGUUGGAGUAUCGACAAAGGGCUAGCUAUGGACAGGGGUGCGUGGAAGCUUGCUAUCCAUGUAACAGAGCCAUGA
Molecule: ribosomal RNA, 384 nt
Filed under: Triticum aestivum (bread wheat)
Lineage: Eukaryota; Viridiplantae; Streptophyta; Magnoliopsida; Poales; Poaceae
Description: partial small subunit ribosomal RNA
Source: RNAcentral